Molecule: small nucleolar RNA, 78 nt
Filed under: Carlito syrichta (Philippine tarsier)
Lineage: Eukaryota; Metazoa; Chordata; Mammalia; Primates; Tarsiidae
Description: Small nucleolar RNA SNORA40 (ENSTSYG00000025253.2)
Rfam family: Small nucleolar RNA SNORA40
About the family: The snoRNA ACA 40 belongs to the H/ACA family of snoRNAs and guides the pseudouridylation of 28S rRNA subunit at position U4565. NB This family has a high threshold value to exclude a large number of closely related sequences that do not appear to have conserved H and ACA boxes, and may be pseudogenes.
Source: RNAcentral
GGUCCAAAAAAAAUUCCUCUUUUGCAACCCAGAACUCGUUGUUCAGUAUGAGUUUUGACACAUAGAAGAAGGAAUAUG